GACGAACGCUGGCGGCGUGCUUAACACAUGCAAGUCGAACGGAAAGGCCCUGCUUUUGUGGGGUUCUUGAGUGGCGAACGGGUGAGUAACACGCGAGUAUCCUGCCCUUGUCUUUGGGAUAACUUCAGGAAACUGGGGCUAAUACCGGAUAGGAGCUUCUGCUGCACGGUGGGGGUUGGAAAGUUUCGGCGGUUGGGGAUGGACUCGCGGCUUAUCAGCUUGUUGGUGUGGUAGUGGCUUACCAAGGCUUUGACGGAUAGCCGGCAUGAGAGGGUGACCGGCCACCUUGGGACUGAGAGACGGCCCAGACGCCUACGGGAGGCAGCAGGGGGGAAUAUUGCGCAAUGGGCGGAAGCCUGAUGCAGCAGCGCCCCGUGCGGAAUGACGGCCUUCGGGUUGUAAACCGCUUUCGCCGGAGACGAAGCGUGAGUGACGGUAAUGAGUAAAGAAGCACCGGCUAACUACGUG
RNAcentral lists this ribosomal RNA (468 nucleotides) under uncultured bacterium. RNAcentral describes it as "partial 16S ribosomal RNA". It matches the Rfam family "Bacterial small subunit ribosomal RNA", at positions 28 to 507 of the family's 1533-position model. The record is from RNAcentral.